CAGUUUUCAAAUUUUUAAUGAUAAAGAAUGUUGAUACAGAGAUUAGCAUGGCCCCUGAGCAAGGAUGACAUGCAAAUUCGUGAAGCGUUCCUUAUUUUU
This 99-nucleotide small nuclear RNA is filed under the name Dipodomys ordii (Ord's kangaroo rat). The record is from RNAcentral. Lineage: Eukaryota; Metazoa; Chordata; Mammalia; Rodentia; Heteromyidae.